RNAcentral lists this non-coding RNA (23 nucleotides) under Cricetulus griseus (Chinese hamster). The record is from RNAcentral. Lineage: Eukaryota; Metazoa; Chordata; Mammalia; Rodentia; Cricetidae.
AACCGUGUGAAGUAGGUAAUAGG